Molecule: long non-coding RNA, 737 nt
Filed under: Homo sapiens (human)
Lineage: Eukaryota; Metazoa; Chordata; Mammalia; Primates; Hominidae
Description: HSALNT0358878
Source: RNAcentral
UACCCGAGGUGGUUGGGUACAGCUUGGUUCUACACAUUUUGGGGAGGAGACAUAAGACAUCAGUCAAUACAUGUGAGGUAUACAUUGGCUCGAUAUAAAAAGGCUGGACAUUUCAAAGUGGGGGUUUUCAGGUCAUAGGUGAAGUCAAAGAUUUCUUGAUUGGCAGUUGGUUGAAGGAGUUCAGCUUAAGAUAAGGAGGGAUGUGGAAGCCAAGGUUCUCGCUGUGUAGAUGGAGCCUUCAGGUAACAGGCUUCAGAUAUAAUAGAUGGUAAAUGUAUUUUGUCAGGUUUUAAAAGAUGUUAGACUUUUAGUUAAAUCUCUCCUGUAUCGGGAAAAAACCUGGAAAGAUUUCCAUACUACUGGCAAAGAUCUCACUAAUUAGCCCUCAUAUAUUGACUUCUGUUUUCAUUUUUCUUCUUUAUUUAUCCUCAAUUGAUUGGUGAUUCCAGCCCUUUGGUCCAGCACUCAAGCCUGGAUCACUCAGUCAUCAUCUUUAUCCACUAACUGCUGGACUCUAAUGAAAAGAAAGCUCUUACCUGCCCAACUUAUUGCCUCCAAGUGUACCAAGAUACGUUUCUCUCUGACAUUGCCUGUACAUUUGCCUGUAGAACUGAAUAAAUGCCUAAAAAAUUAGUGCUAAAUGGCAGCAACUAGAGUUUACUUUGAAGCUGUUUUAUUAUCCUUCAUUGUGUAUAAUUCACUGAGAAAAAUGACACCUGGAUGGUGCCCUUUUCUUG